RNAcentral lists this ribosomal RNA (325 nucleotides) under uncultured eukaryote. RNAcentral's name for it is "partial 18S ribosomal RNA". It matches the Rfam family "Eukaryotic small subunit ribosomal RNA", at positions 1470 to 1796 of the family's 1831-position model. The record is from RNAcentral.
CCCUUAGAUGUUCUGGGCCGCACGCGCGCUACACUGAUGCAUUCAACGAGCCUAUCCUUGACCGACAGGUCCGGGUAAUCUUUGAAUCUGCAUCGUGACGGGGAUAGAUUAUUGCAAUUAUUAAUCUUCAACGAGGAAUGCCUAGUAGGCGCAAGUCAUCAGCUUGCGUCGAUUACGUCCCUGCCCUUUGUACACACCGCCCGUCGCUCCUACCGAUUGGGUGUGCUGGCGAAAUGUUCGGAUCGGCCGUUUGUCGCGGUUUCCGCGGCUCGUGGCUGAGAAGUUCAUUAAACCCUCCCACCUAGAGGAAGGAGAAGUCGUAACA